ACUCAAAUGAAUAGACGGGGACCCGCACAAGCGGUGGAGUAUGUGGUUUAAUUCGACGCAACGCGAAAAACCUUACCUAGGCUCGAACGACUGGAAGUAGCUCCGAUGAAAGUUGGAGCGACCUGUAAAGUCAGGUGCCAGCCGAGGUGCUGCAUGGUUGUCGUCAGCUCGUGUCGUGAGAUGUUGGGUUAAGUCCCGCAACGAGCGCAACCCCUAUCUUCUGUUGCUAACCCGCAAGGGUGCACUCUGAAGAAACUGCCCACGAUGAGUGGGAGGAAGGCAGGGACGACGUCAAAUCACCAUGGCCCUUAUGUCUAGGGCUACACACGUACUACAAUGGCCGGUACAGAGGGCUGCAAUACCGUAAGGUGGAGCUAAUCCUUAAAACCGGCCCCAGUUCAGAUUGUGGGCUGCAAUUCGUCCACAUGAAGGUGGAAUCGCUAGUAAUCGCGAAUCAGAAGGUCGCGGUGAAUACGUUCCCGGGUCUUGUACACACCGCCCGU
This 503-nucleotide ribosomal RNA is filed under the name uncultured bacterium. RNAcentral describes it as "partial 16S ribosomal RNA". It matches the Rfam family "Bacterial small subunit ribosomal RNA", at positions 899 to 1397 of the family's 1533-position model. The record is from RNAcentral.